This 3139-nucleotide long non-coding RNA is filed under the name Sus scrofa (pig). Its description in RNAcentral is "lncRNA (ENSSSCG00000056550.1)". The record is from RNAcentral. Lineage: Eukaryota; Metazoa; Chordata; Mammalia; Artiodactyla; Suidae.
UUUUUUUUUUUUUUUUUUUUUUUUUUGCUUUUAGACAAAAACCAAUAAAUUUGUAAGAAUUGGCAGGACAAAGGAACCGAGGCACUGGGUGUUUAGGUAGUGAAGGAACAGAGUUUGGGCUUGAAGUGGUAAAUUAAAGAAGUUACAAGGCUGGUGUUUAUGGGCUCCCUGGCCCUGAAUUUCCUACCUCUGGUGAUAAAGAUGUCCAUUUACCUGCACAUGCAGGGAGGGUAACUUUCACAUGAGAGAUUUAUUUUCUCCUUUCAGGGAGACAGAGAGGAGGGUCAGGGUUUCCCUCUUACACUGGCUGCUGCUGAAGUACCUUCAAUUUAAAAUAAUCCAUAUGCUAUUGAAGCACAUUUUGAGGUGGCCUGGCUUGGGCCCCAAUAUCACCCAUCUUUUUAAACAAGUAUGCACUAAUCACGUAUAUUUGACUCUUGGACUCUGAUUCCUAGAGUGGGACUUAAAACAUUUGAAUUUGCCACCUGAGAUUUAAAACUGCUGCUACUGGAGGAGCACAGGCACACUUCACACCUGCCCCUGAUUUUGAGGAGGAAGAAAACCUUGAACAUGGUUCAAGGUCACAAGUAGUGACACUGGUGGGCCGGCUAAUGGGAUAGGGAAGGAAUUAUAAAUAGAUUUAAACUGAAACAAGAAAUCUCUUGGCCUCUCCUCUGAGAUGUCCUCCUCUUUCAAAGUUAUUCCUCUUUGCAUUGGUUCUUUUUUCUUCAUCUUCUCUUGCAACUAGUACCAUAAAACAAAUCUCCUGAGACCUAUCAUUUUGAAAGAAUUUCCUUUCACUGAGCUUUGUAACAAAACCAAGAGGGGUGGUAUAAAAAGACAGGGCUGAGACUGCCAACCAAAUUCUUGUCAAGAAUUCUCAUGGAGAAAUAUUUUAAGUUUUGUUGGGUUUCUCUUACCAUUGUUACUCACCACUCAUUCAUUCGCUCACUCAGCUAAGAAGUAUGUAUCGAGUUGCUACCUCAGGCCAGGUAGUGCCAUAGGCACUGGUGGAUGGGCCCUAAAAGUGGUCAAAGAACCUAUUUUCAUUGGGAUUAUCCAAGGGAAGUAUUGCACUAUAAAUAAAUCAUAAGUAGAUUACAGUAUGUCAUAAUUAACAGUCCUAUGCGGAAAAAAAAUAACCAGGUCAAUGGGGAUUGGCAUUUAAGAAAUUUACAAACAAAGAACAGGUCAGCAAGCUACUUGGGAAAGAACAGUCCAAGCAGAGGCCGCGCUACUUAAGGCGCUCCUCAAGUUGGAGCGUUUGGUCAGUGAAAGGUCAGUUAGGAGGCCAGCGCGACGGAACCAGAGGAAAGGAAGGAAGGAUGAUAGAAACGAUCCAAAGGCAGCACGAGGAGCAGAUCGCACGUGCCUUUCAGGUCAGCGCCCAGCAGAGACCUGGGCCGUGUUCCCAGGGCUGUGAGAACCUUCCGGGGUUACUGUGUCAGGAGAGAGCCCUCUCGCCAAAACUGAACACCUGGUCAAUCUCUUGGGACAGACCACGACGAAAGAUAAUACGAGAAAAAGAAUGUAUACAGAUGGUUAACUGGGUCACUACGUUAUAUAGCAGAAACUGACAACACUGUAAAUCCACUAUACUCUAAUAAAAAUAAUUUUAAAAAAAAGAAUGCCUGGGCAGCCUAUGCAGAAAGAAUCAUCGAUUUAUCUAGCCCAGCGUACCACAUCCAGUGCACCCUUUGAAACUUUUCAUCAAUUGGCUGAAUGUCAAAGUUACACAUUGUACUAAAUACCACUUCCUUGUUGAAAAUGUCUUCUUUGAAGAAGACAUGUAAAUCACCUUACAUUCAACAAAACCAAAAUAAUGCCCCUCUUAAGGUGUGGCCAUUGUAGGAAUGAGUGUUUCAGCAGGAGAAAGAAUCAAACCCAGAUGUUUCAAGAGCCUUCAGAUAAGACAGCAUUUACAGAAGUGUAAAGAUGUUAUAAUGAAACAGACAAAAAGCAAAAUGUUGAUGAACCUAGAGAGUAGUAAGGGGUCAGGUAGCCCAGUGAGAGGUGGGUCGUGAAAGAAGGCCUGACUGUCUGAGCUCCUGCUGUGCUGGAGGACAGCUCAGAGGCACGAGAAAGCCCAAAGACCCAGACCCAGCUCUUAGUCACCCACUGAUCCUGUGACCCUCUCCUUAGUGGAUUCUGCGGUGCUUUGCCUCAGUCACCACUUUAAAACUUUAAACCUCUCCCCUGCUCCUCAGAAUCUUUAACUGCUGAUGGCUCAGAGCUGCAGCCUUCUCUGGGGCAUUAUCUUCGGCUUCAGGAAACCAGCUCCCCAAAGGAGUCUUCUCUCCCAAGGAACAAGGCACAAUCAAGGACUGGUUGAAUUGGGGCUGCAAAGGUCUGGCCCUCCCCUCAGAUUGGAACAGUUGUGAAGGGCCUUCGCAUAUUUAAAGCUUGCUUGAGAAGGAGUGAAAUUGCAAAUGCCAUCACAGGGCAAGAUGGCUUUUCCCCAAGCCAGUACCUCCUGGCAAGGGUAACCCUGGAGAAAAUUCAUGGUUAAUCUCUAAAGAACGCUCCAUCUCAAAGUAUGUUUUCAAGAAAUUCAGUCUAAACCAACCACACUGUAGCCAGAAGGAGAGUCCAGGCAAUGACCUUCAUGGCAGCCGGUCUGCCUGGGCUCAGAGCAGAGAGAAAGGCCAAAAAUGGAAGGAGUGGGACUGUGGCUGGAAUGCAAACAGAGAAUAAUGGGAGGUUAUCGAUAACAUCUGGAAGAAUCUCAUACUUUGUAAAUUAUUACUUUCUUUCCUUGCUAAUAUAUUUACGGCAAAUUUACACACAAAUCAUCCUCAAAUCCCAGUAGUACACAGGUUACCAUUUUAAUAAACACAUACCACAAAUACCCCAUUUUUGCCGCACUCUACCCCCACUGCUGAGUUUCAGCCAGUGUCUAAAUAAUGAAAACAAUGAUUUUUUCAUGACACGCAUACAAUUUUUAUUUCAGAUGUUCAAAACUUCUCUUUUAAAUUUUGUGAUUCUCCCCAAGAUUUCUCAUGAUAUAAAUAGAGAUUAAAGAUAUGUUCUUAAAUUAGCUAUGGCAAUGCUAAAAGACCCAACCAAAAUUCCCUUAAUUGUAGACAUAAUGCAUAUAAAGAAGUAUUAAAUGACCCUUUUCAAACCCAGUUCCAUAAUG